UGACCUGAAUCGAAUCUCCCGCCUCAGCCUCCCAGAGUGCUAGUAUUACAGGUGUGAGCCACCGUGCCUGGCUUGGUGUUUGGUUCUUUAGUCCAAUAAAGGGGUUCUUCUCACCAGGCAGCUUUCUUUCAUGCGAUAAUUCAGUGACUCAAAUUCCUUCUGUCUUAUGGUUCUACCAUCCUUAAAAUGCCUUGUGAUUCUCUGUCUCCUGCUAAUGGAAGAGGAAGAGAGAAUGGAGAAGGUACUUCUUAAUUGCUAUGUUUACAGCUCUUCAGAUGAAGAGGAACUGUACUUAAGGGGCUGUACUUGAGGAACUGUACUCAAGAAGCUCAUACCUGGACCUCAAGCCUCAGCUUGAUGUUAUAGGUUUCGAGGAAGGGAAUGAAUGUAUUUUGCAUGAAGGAGGGAUGUGAACUUUCAAAGCCAAAGAGUAGACUAUGGUAUGUUAUACUGGCCAGAACUGGCCUCAGCAAUAUUUCUGGUUCCACAUGCUCUCCUGGAGUCUUGCCUCUUCUCAUCAAGAGAUGUUUGUUUCCCCUCUCCUUCAACCUGUACUACAUGACUUCCAAAGUGAGAUCAUAAAAGAUGAUACUGCUUCUGCCUAUCUCACUCAGGAUGCUUACCCUUAGAACCUAGCCCGCAUGAUGUGAGGAAGCAUAGGCCACAUACAGAAGCUGUGAGCAGCUGUCUUGGUGCCACGUGUGGAGUCAUCUGACAGCAUCAACCACCACACGUUAGUGAAUGAGCCUUCAUAGGAUUUCAGUCUGGAGACUUCCAGCCAUCCCAGCUGAUGCUGAGGGGAGCAGAGAUGAGCUGUCCCUUCUUAGGCCUGUCCAAAUAGCAGUUUCAUGAGCAAAUUAAAUAUUGUUGUUUUGGGUCA
This is a non-coding RNA of Microcebus murinus (gray mouse lemur), 880 nucleotides long. The record is from RefSeq and is a predicted model, not a curated record. Lineage: Eukaryota; Metazoa; Chordata; Mammalia; Primates; Cheirogaleidae.